This 426-nucleotide ribosomal RNA is filed under the name uncultured Paenibacillus sp. RNAcentral describes it as "bacterial SSU rRNA". It matches the Rfam family "Bacterial small subunit ribosomal RNA", at positions 355 to 774 of the family's 1533-position model. The record is from RNAcentral. Lineage: Bacteria; Bacillati; Bacillota; Bacilli; Caryophanales; Paenibacillaceae.
UAGGGAAUCUUCCGCAAUGGACGCAAGUCUGACGGAGCAACGCCGCGUGAGUGAAGAAGGUUUUCGGAUCGUAAAGCUCUGUUGCCAGGGAAGAACGGAUGGGAGAGUAACUGCUCUUGUCAUGACGGUACCUGAGAAGAAAGCCCCGGCUAACUACGUGCCAGCAGCCGCGGUAAUACGUAGGGGGCAAGCGUUGUCCGGAAUUAUUGGGCGUAAAGCGCGCGCAGGCGGUACGUUAAGUCUGGUGUCUAAGACUGGGGCUCAACCCUGGAACGCACCGGAAACUGGCGAACUUGAGUGCAGGAGAGGAAAGUGGAAUUCCACGUGUAGCGGUGAAAUGCGUAGAGAUGUGGAGGAACACCAGUGGCGAAGGCGACUUUCUGGCCUGUAACUGACGCUGAGGCGCGAAAGCGUGGGGAGCAAACA